AACGAACGCUGGCGGCAUGCCUAACACAUGCAAGUCGAACGAGACCUUCGGGUCUAGUGGCGCACGGGUGCGUAACGCGUGGGAACCUGCCCUUAGGUUCGGAAUAACUCCCCGAAAGGGGUGCUAAUACCGGAUAAUGUCUUCGGACCAAAGAUUUAUCGCCUUUGGAUGGGCCCGCGUUGGAUUAGCUAGUUGGUAGGGUAAAAGCCUACCAAGGCGACGAUCCAUAGCUGGUCUGAGAGGAUGAUCAGCCACACUGGGACUGAGACACAGCCCAGACUCCUACGGGAGGCAGCAGUGGGGAAUAUUGGACAAUGGGCGAAAGCCUGAUCCAGCAAUGCCGCGUGAGUGAUGAAGACCUUAGGGUUGUAAAGCUCUUUUACCCGGGAUGAUAAUGACAGUACCGGGAGAAUAAGCGCCGGCUAACUCCGUG
This 433-nucleotide ribosomal RNA is filed under the name uncultured bacterium. Its description in RNAcentral is "partial 16S ribosomal RNA". It matches the Rfam family "Bacterial small subunit ribosomal RNA", at positions 29 to 507 of the family's 1533-position model. The record is from RNAcentral.